RNAcentral lists this unclassified non-coding RNA (3019 nucleotides) under Leishmania donovani. RNAcentral's name for it is "gene:LdHU3.03.0100(CDS-product:hypothetical_prote in_conserved)". Lineage: Eukaryota; Euglenozoa; Kinetoplastea; Trypanosomatida; Trypanosomatidae. The record is from RNAcentral.
GCACGACGCUACCGUGCGCCACAUCGCUGCACCCCCUCCCCUCUUCUCGCGCGUGCCGGAUAAGCACGGAAGGUGCGUAGGCGUUUGCAAGCGCACACAUGCUCAUAGAAAGAUGAAAGGCACGCCGGCUCUUGUGAUUGGGCGCAAGGAGCUCUUCUCCUUCGCAGACCGCUACAGCUCACGGCGCCUCAGCGACUACAGCAGCCUGGCAGACGGCGAGGUGCUCUGCUGCCUCUUCAACCUCGUCUUCCCUGACCUUCGCAUUCGCCCAGCACCAUCGCAGACACACUCCAGCACGCAGCGGGCACACGCCAACUGGGAGCAACUCUUUCGCCGCUUUGCAAGGCUGCACAUCCCGCUCUCGUUCCUCGAUCCUGCCGCCCUCCAAGCCGGCAGCGUCGAGUGCGGCUUCAGUACGCUCGUCCUUUUCUACUUCUUCCAUCACCUCUCGAAGCGGCCGGACUUCUCGGCUGAGUUCGCGCUCGACGUGGCCGAGGAGGUGACCACCUACCUGCAGUCGACCGACUGCAUCGCCACCCUGUUGCUGGGGGGCGCACUUCAAUGGGCUGCGGUGCCGGAGCCGCUGGCGCAGACGCUACGCGUGCACCCGGUUUUCCACACAACUGCGGAGGCGGAGAUGGCACAGGAGGAGGAGGCAGCCCGCACCUACCGCUCGAUGUUUGCGCGGCGGCGUACAGGCAGCGCCAACAGUAUGCACAACCUCCCUGCGACUCAACGUGCACAUUCACGCACGACGGAGCAGCAGUCGGGAAUCGGCGGCCCGAGUAGCAUGAAACCCGCAUCCUCCUCUUCACCCUCUGCGGCGUCGUCUUCUACGCCGUGUUGUAAAGGCAGGGCAGACUCACCACCGCCGCGGCCACCACUCCACAACGCAUCGACACAGUCCACUCGCUCCUCCACAUCGAGACUGUCGAGCAGCGACAAUGUGAACCCGUCUGUCGACCUCUGCCGGCUGGAGCGCCAAUGCAGCUCUGAGAUGCGCACACGCAGCGCCGAGGCGUGUGGUGUAUCCCAGCCAAGGGCCCCAAAUCAGCGCAGCUCAUCACGGCGUAGCGCAUCGUCAUCGCGCUCAUCUGGGAAUUCCCAUUCUUCGACAAUGACUGCUAUGUCAUGUCAGUCCUCCGGCACGGCAGACGCGGCUGUCGCACAGGCGUCUCGUAUUCCCUACCGCUCUGCCUCUUCGGUGAGCGCCGCGACCGGGUCCCGGGGGUCAGCGGUGUCGUCCUCACGCGCACGCGACGCGGCGCUCGAAGCUGCACUGCAGUCAAAGGAGGCAGAGUGCGAGUCACUUCAGAUGCAGGUGGCGCAGCUGCUGACUCUUCUCGCCAACACGCGCGCUGCCGGCACCGCCUCAGCUGCCACCAGCAGCGGGAGCCACCUGCGCAGCCCCAGUCCGCGUGCAGCAGCGGCGGCAGAAACAGCGCAAAGAGGUGACAUAACGGAUGGUACGUCCACAGCACAACUGCAGCUGCGCUACGCUGACCGCAUCGAGGAGCUAGAGACACAGUUGCGCGCCUACCGCGAAGCCAGCGACAAGCGACAAGCGCUGUCGUCUCCCUCUCCCGCACCAGCAGCACCCCCACCCCUACCACCAUCAGGAGCUACGAUGGACAGGGCUGCGCUGGAGGCGGAGAUCGCGGCACUGACAGCGGACAUCGUCGACGACGAGACGGGGACUACCGUCGUAGAUGUGCAUGAGAAGGCAAACCUGCUGCACUGCCUUAUGCUGGAGCACCUGCAGGAGGCGCCGCGCAAUCGCAAGCAGAUGCAGCGAUGGCUGUGGUCGAUCGUCGCAGCGCACCACACAAUGGAGGGGCGGUUGAUGGCGGCGGUGGGCCUACUGCGCCUGUGGAGCACUACGCUCCCGGCCGCUGGUGCGGGUGCGGCCGCGGUCGCGAAUUCUUCCGCCGCCAAUAGGGAGGCGUGCACGGCGGUACAGCGGAGUCAGUCGACGGUCGCGGCUUCCUUCUCUGCGGUUUCACCGGGUAGCAACUUCGACAUCGCUGACAGCGGAGGCGCCGAUCACGAAGAGAUGACUGCGUUGCGUAGCGCUCAUUAUGCGGAGCUGGAGGCCCUUCAUGCGCGGGAGCACCAGCUGGCGGCAGCACUGCAGGGAGCGCAGGCAAACAACGCCGCGACGGUGCAGCGGGCGGUUCGGCGGGAGCGACUGUGGAAGUCGCUAUGCGCGUCCGUCUACGCAGCGGAGCAAGCUUCCUACGCGAUCACGGAAUGCCGCUCAGCUGAGGAAGUCGAGGAGCGACUGCGUCAGCGGGAAGAGCACUACGGCGUCGUAGAGUCGCUGACGCAGCAGCUGGUGGAGGAUGGCCAGCAGGAGGUGACGACGAGCACGCACCAUGAGGAAAUAGAGGCAACAGCUGGAUCGCCUGCACCGUGCAGGUCGCUGCAGACACUCGUGGCGCAUCUACAGGAAGAGCGCGCGGAACUCCUCAGAGACGUGACGCGUCUGCACGACGCAUUGGCGUCGCUGCAAGGGGAGAAGGGUCCUUCGGCGUACGCGGAUGUAGUGAAGGUGACGAAAGCGUCGCCGAGCUUGUCUACCUACGCGAGCACCGCAGCCACGCCGUUUUUCAGCGAUGAUCUCCACAGAAAGUCUGCUGCUGUUGCAGACGGCAGUACAGCGGGGACGAGCACUGCGCGUUACGAGUGCAAGCCGUCGAGUGCGACGUAUUCGCCAGGCCCUGCCCGCGCACCCCGCGGGCUCACCUCGCUCUUGCAGCUCCGGGAGGGAGAAGAAUUCUCGGCAUGACCACGGCGGGUGCUUCUACUUGCUUACUCGUUGUGGCGGCUGAAGGGGGAGGGGGCAGGCGAACGCACACACCGCCGCGACCCCUUCGUCCUCCCUCGCCACAGUUCCUGGAUGUCACAUGAGCAUCGACAGUCUAAUAGAUGUGUUGCAGCCCCUCUCACUCUCUAUAUGUCGGGGUGAUGGGGAAGAAGCCUGUGCGGCUGUUCUCAUAGAUGGCAGUGCCUUCUGUUG